RNAcentral lists this ribosomal RNA (402 nucleotides) under uncultured bacterium. Its description in RNAcentral is "bacterial SSU rRNA". It matches the Rfam family "Bacterial small subunit ribosomal RNA", at positions 355 to 774 of the family's 1533-position model. The record is from RNAcentral.
UUGGGAAUCUUGGACAAUGGGGGAAACCCUGAUCCAGCCAUGCCGCGUGAGUGAUGAAGGCCUUCGGGUUGUAAAACUCUUUCGGCGGGGACGAUAAUGACGGUACCCGCAGAAGAAGCUCCGGCUAACUUCGUGCCAGCAGCCGCGGUAAUACGAAGGGGGCUAGCGUUGUUCGGAAUUACUGGGCGUAAAGUGCGCGCAGGCGGCUAUCCAAGUCAGUGGUGAAAGCCCGGAGCUCAACUCCGGAACUGCCAUUGAAACUGUUUAGCUUGAGGACGAGAGAGGUGAGUGGAAUUCCCAGUGUAGAGGUGAAAUUCGUAGAUAUUGGGAAGAACACCGGUGGCGAAGGCGGCUCACUGGCUCGUUUCUGACGCUCAGGCGCGAUAGCGUGGGGAUCAAACA